RNAcentral lists this ribosomal RNA (292 nucleotides) under uncultured Bacteroides sp. Its description in RNAcentral is "partial 16S ribosomal RNA". It matches the Rfam family "Bacterial small subunit ribosomal RNA", at positions 56 to 339 of the family's 1533-position model. The record is from RNAcentral. Lineage: Bacteria; Pseudomonadati; Bacteroidota; Bacteroidia; Bacteroidales; Bacteroidaceae.
UGCAAGUCGAGGGGAAACGACAUCGAAAGCUUGCUUUUGAUGGGCGUCGACCGGCGCACGGGUGAGUAACACGUAUCCAACCUGCCGAUGACUCGGGGAUAGCCUUUCGAAAGAAAGAUUAAUACCCGAUGGCAUAGUUCUUCCGCAUGGUAGAACUAUUAAAGAAUUUCGGUCAUCGAUGGGGAUGCGUUCCAUUAGGUUGUUGGCGGGGUAACGGCCCACCAAGCCUUCGAUGGAUAGGGGUUCUGAGAGGAAGGUCCCCACAUUGGAACUGAGACACGGUCCAAACUCC